GGUGGGUUGGCAGAGCGGCCGAAUGCGCAGGUCUUGAAAACCUGAGUGCCGAUGAUCUCGGCACCGUGGGUUCGAACCCCACACCCACCGCC
RNAcentral lists this transfer RNA (92 nucleotides) under mine drainage metagenome. RNAcentral describes it as "tRNA-Ser". It matches the Rfam family "tRNA". From Rfam's summary of the family: Transfer RNA (tRNA) molecules are approximately 80 nucleotides in length. Their secondary structure includes four short double-helical elements and three loops (D, anti-codon, and T loops). Further hydrogen bonds mediate the characteristic L-shaped molecular structure. tRNAs have two regions of fundamental functional importance: the anti-codon, which is responsible for specific mRNA codon recognition, and the 3' end, to which the tRNAs corresponding amino acid is attached (by aminoacyl-tRNA synthetases). tRNAs cope with the degeneracy of the genetic code in two manners: having more than one tRNA (with a specific anti-codon) for a particular amino acid; and 'wobble' base-pairing, i.e. permitting non-standard base-pairing at the 3rd anti-codon position. The record is from RNAcentral.